UAAGAGCUGCUCCAUUUCCUCUAGGAUUAUUGUGAAGUCACUGGCUUCGUCCUUACAUAAGGUUUGCUGUUCCAGGAACUGGACACUCUCCUCUUCUUUCAGCUUCAACUUCACCUUCAAGGCCUGAAAGGGAAAUCAUCCCAGAGGGAAACCCAUAAUAAAACUCUUAUAAGAAAGACAGCACCUGGACCAGACCACUAGACCCGUGCUACAUAGAGGGGGAUGACCCCAGUACCAGACAGCAUCUUACUUCCCACCUUAAAAUUUAUCUGUGCUGGCUCGGGGAAUUUCCCCACUCUGUAUUUAAACUGGAACAAUGAAACCGGCUGUGUCUCCUGCCCCACCGUUUGUCUGACAAUCUAAAGGAGUCCAAGAAUCUCACCAUGUAGAUCAGGCUUCAACUUACGCAGACCCCUGCCUCUGUGAUAGAAGGGAUCAAAUUCAGUGCUUGUGUGGCAAGGACCUUAAUCCACCGACCAGCCAUCUUAAGCCUCUGACCACCCUCCCCCUCCAACCUAAAACAUUAAAAAAAAAAAAAUCUAAUGUGCAUGUGCAGACAUGUGUGCAUGCACGUGAGAUGUGUGGAGGCCAGAGGGUGACUUGGGGAACUGGUGUUUUCCUGCCAUCACUUGGGUUCUGGGAUCAAACUUGUUUGUGAGACUUGCAACAAGGACUUUUACCUACUGAGUCAUCUCAAUAGCUCUCUACUAUUUAAAAAAAACAAAACAAAACAAAACAACCAUUUAUUUACUUACUUGUAGGGAAGGGGAGAAUUUAUACCACUCUGUGGAGGUCAGAGGACAAAGUGAAGGACCCAGUCCAGGUUAUCAGGCUUGGUGGCAAGACCCUUUACCUGCUCCUCCAUCUCAAAUG
RNAcentral lists this long non-coding RNA (873 nucleotides) under Mus caroli (Ryukyu mouse). Its description in RNAcentral is "lncRNA (MGP_CAROLIEiJ_G0003240.1)". Lineage: Eukaryota; Metazoa; Chordata; Mammalia; Rodentia; Muridae. The record is from RNAcentral.